Molecule: ribosomal RNA, 1314 nt
Filed under: Triticum aestivum (bread wheat)
Lineage: Eukaryota; Viridiplantae; Streptophyta; Magnoliopsida; Poales; Poaceae
Description: partial small subunit ribosomal RNA
Source: RNAcentral
AUGUCGCUGUACGACGGCGGGCUCGCCGGAGUGUACCCCGAGGAGGAGGAUGACCGCCUCGCCGACCUGGCGGGGGACUCCGACUACGACGACGACGAGUACGUCCAAUCUAUUAGCAAGGCGUCAGAAGAUACAUCUGCGAUGGAUGUCCUGAAAGGGAAGGACAUACAGGGAAUUCCCUGGGAACGGCUGACCAUCACAAGGGACGGAUAUAGGAAGUCAAGACUGGAAGGGUAUACGAACUUUGAGAACAUACCUAAUUCGGGACAAUUAUCGGAGAAGGUAUGUACACCUGUGGAGAAAGGUCAACUCUACUACGAGUUUGCGCAUAACACAAGAUCUGUGAGACCGACCAUUUUUCAUUUUCAGUUGAGAAAUUUAGUAUGGGCAACAACAAGGCAUGAUGUUUAUCUUAUGUCACACAUGUCUGUGCUUCAUUGGUCACCACUGACCUCUGAGAAGCACGAGGUCAUUGAUCUUCAAGGACAUGUUGCUCCAUGUGAGAAGCACGAGGGGAAUUUCUAUGAGGGCUUUUAUCGGACUCACGUUAGCACAUUGGCAGUCAAGAACAACCUGCUGGUUGCUGGUGGCUUUCAUGGAGAACUAAUUUGCAAAUUUUUGGACCGUGAAGGAAUAAGCUAUUGUUCCAAGUCAACUCAUGAUGACAAUGGCAUUACUAAUUUUCUGGAGAUAUUUGAGAAACCUAGUGGUUCCGUGCAUUUCCUAGCAUCAAACAAUGAUUGUGGACUAAGAGACUUUGACAUGGAGAAGUUUCAAAUGUGCAAUAAUUUUCAUUUCGAUUGGGCUGUGAAUCACACAUCCUUGAGCCCUGAUGGUAAAAUCAUUGCUGUUGUGGGGGACAAUCCUGACGGUGUUCUGGUUGAUGCUAAUUCGGGGAAAAUGAUUCACGAGCUCAGUGGUCAUUUGGAUUAUUCGUUUGCAUCGGCAUGGAACCCAGACGGCCGGACAUUCGCAACUGGGAACCAAGACAAGACAUGCAGGAUCUGGGACGCCCGUAACCUCUCCAAGUCUGUCGCUGUCCUGGGAGGCAACAUGGGAGCCAUAAGGUCCAUCCGCUAUACAUCUGACGGCAAGUUCCUGGCAAUGGCUGAAGCUGCAGACUUCAUCCACAUCUUUGACGUCGGGAGUGGGUACGACAGGAAGCAGGAGCUGGACUUCUUUGGUGAGAUUGCCGGCAUAUCGUUCAGUCCUGACACUGAGGCUCUCUUUGUCAGCGUACAUGAUCGCAACUAUAGCAGCCUCCUCCAGUUCAGUCGUCGACGGUUUUACAGCUACCUUGAUUCAGCUUUGUGA